Molecule: transfer RNA, 72 nt
Filed under: Candidatus Giovannonibacteria bacterium RIFCSPHIGHO2_01_FULL_48_47
Lineage: Bacteria; Candidatus Giovannoniibacteriota
Also listed under: 5 other names
Description: tRNA-Phe
Rfam family: tRNA
About the family: Transfer RNA (tRNA) molecules are approximately 80 nucleotides in length.
Source: RNAcentral
GCCGCGGUAGCUCAGUGGCAGAGCUCUCGCCUGAAGAGCGAGGAGUCGUCAGUUCGAUUCUGACCCGCGGCA